GAUGAACGCUGGCGGCGUGCCUAAUACAUGCAAGUCGAGCGAACAGAUGAGGAGCUUGCUCCUCUGACGUUAGCGGCGGACGGGUGAGUAACACGUGGAUAACCUACCUAUAAGACUGGGAUAACUUCGGGAAACCGGAGCUAAUACCGGAUAAUAUAUUGAACCGCAUGGUUCAAUAGUGAAAGACGGUUUUGCUGUCACUUAUAGAUGGAUCCGCGCCGCAUUAGCUAGUUGGUAAGGUAACGGCUUACCAAGGCAACGAUGCGUAGCCGACCUGAGAGGGUGAUCGGCCACACUGGAGCUUGGACACGGUCCAGACUCCUACGGGAGGCAGCAGUAGGGAAUCUUCCGCAAUGGGCGAAAGCCUGACGGAGCAACGCCGCGUGAGUGAUGAAGGUCUUCGGAUCGUAAAACUCUGUUAUUAGGGAAGAACAAAUGUGUAAGUAACUAUGCACGUCUUGACGGUACCUAAUCAGAAAGCCACGGCUAACUACGUG
RNAcentral lists this ribosomal RNA (497 nucleotides) under uncultured bacterium. RNAcentral's name for it is "partial 16S ribosomal RNA". It matches the Rfam family "Bacterial small subunit ribosomal RNA", at positions 28 to 507 of the family's 1533-position model. The record is from RNAcentral.